RNAcentral lists this ribosomal RNA (253 nucleotides) under uncultured bacterium. RNAcentral's name for it is "partial 16S ribosomal RNA". It matches the Rfam family "Bacterial small subunit ribosomal RNA", at positions 524 to 776 of the family's 1533-position model. The record is from RNAcentral.
UACGAAGGGGGCUAGCGUUGUUCGGAUUUACUGGGCGUAAAGCGCGUGUAGGCGGGUCGUUAAGUUGGGGGCGAAAUCCCGAGGCUCAACCUCGGAACUGCCUUCAAAACUGGCGACCUGGACUCAAGCAGAGGCAAGUGGAAUUGCGAGUGUAGAGGUGAAAUUCGUAGAUAUUCGCAGGAACACCAGUGGCGAAGGCGACUUGCUGGGCUUGUAGUGACGCUGAGACGCGAAAGCGUGGGGAGCAAACAGG